AUGCAACAACCGCAGCUGCAGCCCCGCGUCCGCGCGCGCGCUUUCCUCCACGCCGCCGUCAAGCUCAACCCGAGGGGGAACCCGUUCCUCCUGCGCCGCCCCGCCGCGUCCGCCGGCGGCGCCGUCGCGGGCGUCCAGCUGACGGUGUCGGACUCGGAGCUGUCGUCCCGGGGCUUCGCCGUGCGGCGCACCGCGGAGGGCCUGGACGUGGCGGCGCUGAACGAGGUGUUCGCGCGCGUGGGGUUCCCUCGGCGGCAGGAGGAGCGGCUCCGGUGCGCGCUGGAGCACAGCGAGGUGGCGUGGCUGGCGUCGGAGGCGACGGGGCGCCCCGUGGCGUUCGCGCGCGCGGCCGGGGACGGGGUGUUCAACGCGGUGGUGUGGGACGUGGUGGUGGAGCCGUCGUGCCAGGGCCUCGGGCUCGGCCGCGCCGUCAUGGAGCGCCUCGUGGCGGAGCUCCGGCGCAAGGGCGUCGGCAACAUCGUCCUCUACGCCGAGCCCAGGGUGGUCGGGUUCUACCGCCCGCUGGGGUUCGCCAUGGACCCCGACGGCAUCCGGGGCAUGGCGUACUACCGCAGCAAGCAAAACCAGAAGCAACAGUGA
RNAcentral lists this ribosomal RNA (600 nucleotides) under Triticum aestivum (bread wheat). Its description in RNAcentral is "partial small subunit ribosomal RNA". Lineage: Eukaryota; Viridiplantae; Streptophyta; Magnoliopsida; Poales; Poaceae. The record is from RNAcentral.